AACAACACAGAGAAAGUAAAAAGAACAACAGCAACACAACAACAACAACAAGAAAAACAACAACAAAAGAAAGAGGUUGGAAAAGCUUUCAAAACUUGUAAAGCUUUAAUACAGUGUAUUUGACAUAUCUCAGUGAAAUGUGCACCAGAGGAGAAAAAAAGCAUGUCAUUGCUCUGAAACUGUCUUUUCUAAUUCAGUGCAUCCAUGUAUUGUUAUAAAUCUGUUUCCCAAUCUUGCUUUUUCACUGAAAGAUGCAGACACAAGGGAACAAGCUUCACUGCUAUCUAUCAGCUCAGAUAAGGAAAAGUUCCUUUCAGCCCGACGCUGACAGCUUAUUGAAAUGGAGGCUGAGUUGCAUGCAAAUGAGAGAAAGACUGAUAUGGCAGUUUUAGACUUCAAAGGCGUCUCUGUGUUGAUAAUACAGGAACACGUCACAAAACAUCAUGGCUGGGAUUCACCGAUUGUCUUCGUCGCUGGCUGCUUUAGAAAAUUCUUUUUUAACCACUUCAAUAUUCCUAAGGAAUAUAGACUAUUUGGAAGAUGUGUUUAAUUAAGGCAGUACAUAAAAGAUAUAAGAUGACAAGAAAAGAACCCCAAAUAUGAAGUCAGAGACUGAGGUAACAUUUUAGUUUUCUCACUUUAUAACUUUGUGAUUUCAAAUGUUAAGCUUCCAGAUCUUAGUUUCCUCAACUGUAAAAUGUAAAUAAUAAGAUAUGCUAU
RNAcentral lists this long non-coding RNA (720 nucleotides) under Ovis aries (sheep). RNAcentral's name for it is "lncRNA (ENSOARG00000025660.1)". The record is from RNAcentral. Lineage: Eukaryota; Metazoa; Chordata; Mammalia; Artiodactyla; Bovidae.